This 1396-nucleotide long non-coding RNA is filed under the name Equus asinus (donkey). RNAcentral's name for it is "lncRNA (ENSEASG00005025682.1)". Lineage: Eukaryota; Metazoa; Chordata; Mammalia; Perissodactyla; Equidae. The record is from RNAcentral.
AGCGGGUGUGGGACUGCGCGAAAUCCGGGGCGGGUUAGGAUUAGGGAAAGGUAAAGAGAGGAGAGGAGGCCGAAAGUAGAAAAGUAGGCCCAAGAGAAAUUGAGCAGUAAAAGAGCCUUUGGUUUAUGAAAUAAAGUAAAACAAAAGUCUGGACUGUGGUCUCCUGAUUCCUGGAGGGCAGUUUGAGUGACAGAGGACAGAAAUAAAGGAGGCAAAAUAUGAGCAGUGGUGGUCAUUCGCCAGAUGAACGAGACAGCCGAUAAAAACGAGAAAUUUAGAGAUUGGCAGAGUGGUCAGAAAAACAAAUUUAGAGCGGCGCGUGCUCUGCGGCCAGGAAUAGGGAAGGGGAUGUGUGCGCUUGAGACACAGAGCUGCUGCAAGAAAGGAAGCCUCCACUGACCCUGGCACUUGCUGCUGUGUAUCUGAAGCCUUGGUGACUAGUAGUUUGGAAGGCCUUGGGCCUCAGGGCAGGCAAGGAGAUCCCAGUUCCUCUGCUGUCUCUUAGAUGUUCCCUUCACAAACCUACCAAAAGAAGGGGGCUGCCAACCAAUGUCAUCACUCGACCUGUCACAAGAAGAGGGCAUUUGCUCUCAGUCAGACUGCUCGUUCUGGUGCCUCCUUCUUCAGUGGCUGGCACUGCAGCCUGGCAGUCAUUGCAACAUUUAGCACCCACAUCUGGCCUUAUUGGAAAAUCAGGCUUCUCUUAUCCUGGUUUCCUGGACUGGGAUAUUCUUCACUAACUUUCUCCUGAAGAGUCUCUGAAAUGGUGCUUAAAAAGGGUGAACACAGAAAUGUAGAAGUCAGCCACCACAAGAUGUCUAACCAAUUUUGAUGUGAAAACUCAAGUCCCACCUGAGAACACCAGGCUGAAUGCUGUGCUGCAGAGGAGAGCGGCCUGGACAUGGCCACCUCGUGGCCAUCUGCAUAAAGCCCCAGUUAGUGGCAAGAUUGAGCCUUACCCUGCAAACAAGGGCAAAGGAGAAGCAGGAGGGUGGAAUUUGCAGUGUCUCAUCUUGGUGAGAUAGUUGGAAGACUUUUCUACCAAUUAUAAUGGUUAAACACUGACUCAACAUCCAACAACUGCAUGAGCGGUCAGAGCGUUCAUUCAUGGGCAAGUUUCAAAAUGAGACCCGGAGCACCACCUGUCAUGGACGAUGGAGCCAGAGAACAGAGGGGUGGAUUUCACACCCAGAAAGGUGGCUGCUUUCUGGAGAGUCUGCAGGAGCCAAUACUUCCUAACACGGUGACAUUGGGAAGUGCCUUUGCAGCCCUCCUCAGUUUCAUUGCCCAAAGGGUUUGUUUGUACUGGGAAUUCUUAGGCUCUUAAUUCUGUCCCUGCUUCCUGUGCCACUUCCGUAGGAGACUGGAUUCGGGAAGGGAGGGACCUCACCCCCCG